GACGAAAAAUGAAUACCAAGUCUCAAGAGUGAACACGUAAUUCAUUACGAAGUUUAAUUCAUUGAGCAUCAAACUUUUAAAUUGAAGAGUUUGAUCAUGGCUCAGAUUGAACGCUGGCGGCAGGCCUAACACAUGCAAGUCGAACGGUAACAGGAAGCAGCUUGCUGCUUUGCUGACGAGUGGCGGACGGGUGAGUAAUGUCUGGGAAACUGCCUGAUGGAGGGGGAUAACUACUGGAAACGGUGGCUAAUACCGCAUAACGUCGCAAGACCAAAGAGGGGGACCUUCGGGCCUCUUGCCAUCAGAUGUGCCCAGAUGGGAUUAGCUUGUUGGUGAGGUAACGGCUCACCAAGGCGACGAUCCCUAGCUGGUCUGAGAGGAUGACCAGCCACACUGGAACUGAGACACGGUCCAGACUCCUACGGGAGGCAGCAGUGGGGAAUAUUGCACAAUGGGCGCAAGCCUGAUGCAGCCAUGCCGCGUGUAUGAAGAAGGCCUUCGGGUUGUAAAGUACUUUCAGCGGGGAGGAAGGUGUUGUGGUUAAUAACCGCAGCAAUUGACGUUACCCGCAGAAGAAGCACCGGCUAACUCCGUGCCAGCAGCCGCGGUAAUACGGAGGGUGCAAGCGUUAAUCGGAAUUACUGGGCGUAAAGCGCACGCAGGCGGUCUGUCAAGUCGGAUGUGAAAUCCCCGGGCUCAACCUGGGAACUGCAUUCGAAACUGGCAGGCUUGAGUCUUGUAGAGGGGGGNNNNNNNNNNNNNNNNNNNNGAAUUCCAGGUGUAGCGGUGAAAUGCGUAGAGAUCUGGAGGAAUACCGGUGGCGAAGGCGGCCCCCUGGACAAAGACUGACGCUCAGGUGCGAAAGCGUGGGGAGCAAACAGGAUUAGAUACCCUGGUAGUCCACGCCGUAAACGAUGUCUACUUGGAGGUUGUGCCCUUGAGGCGUGGCUUCCGGAGCUAACGCGUUAAGUAGACCGCCUGGGGAGUACGGCCGCAAGGUUAAAACUCAAAUGAAUUGACGGGGGCCCGCACAAGCGGUGGAGCAUGUGGUUUAAUUCGAUGCAACGCGAAGAACCUUACCUGGUCUUGACAUCCACGGAAGUUUUCAGAGAUGAGAAUGUGCCUUCGGGAACCGUGAGACAGGUGCUGCAUGGCUGUCGUCAGCUCGUGUUGUGAAAUGUUGGGUUAAGUCCCGCAACGAGCGCAACCCUUAUCCUUUGUUGCCAGCGGUCCGGCCGGGAACUCAAAGGAGACUGCCAGUGAUAAACUGGAGGAAGGUGGGGAUGACGUCAAGUCAUCAUGGCCCUUACGACCAGGGCUACACACGUGCUACAAUGGCGCAUACAAAGAGAAGCGACCUCGCGAGAGCAAGCGGACCUCAUAAAGUGCGUCGUAGUCCGGAUUGGAGUCUGCAACUCGACUCCAUGAAGUCGGAAUCGCUAGUAAUCGUGGAUCAGAAUGCCACGGUGAAUACGUUCCCGGGCCUUGUACACACCGCCCGUCACACCAUGGGAGUGGGUUGCAAAAGAAGUAGGUAGCUUAACCUUCGGGAGGGCGCUUACCACUUUGUGAUUCAUGACUGGGGUGAAGUCGUAACAAGGUAACCGUAGGGGAACCUGCGGUUGGAUCACCUCCUUACCUUAAAGAAGCGUACUUUGCAGUGCUCACACAGAUUGUCUGAUGAAAA
RNAcentral lists this ribosomal RNA (1687 nucleotides) under Salmonella enterica subsp. enterica serovar Paratyphi A. RNAcentral's name for it is "bacterial SSU rRNA". It matches the Rfam family "Bacterial small subunit ribosomal RNA". Lineage: Bacteria; Pseudomonadati; Pseudomonadota; Gammaproteobacteria; Enterobacterales; Enterobacteriaceae. The record is from RNAcentral.